This 429-nucleotide ribosomal RNA is filed under the name Bacteroidota bacterium. RNAcentral's name for it is "Bacteroidetes bacterium partial 16S ribosomal RNA". It matches the Rfam family "Bacterial small subunit ribosomal RNA", at positions 355 to 776 of the family's 1533-position model. The record is from RNAcentral. Lineage: Bacteria; Pseudomonadati; Bacteroidota.
UAGGGAAUCUUCGGCAAUGGGGGGAACCCUGACCGAGCAACGCCGCGUGAGUGAAGAAGGUUUUCGGAUCGUAAAGCUCUGUUGUUAAGGAAGAACGAGUGUGAGAAUGGAAAGUUCAUACUGUGACGGUACUUAACCAGAAAGGGACGGCUAACUACGUGCCAGCAGCCGCGGUAAUACGUAGGUCCCGAGCGUUGUCCGGAUUUAUUGGGCGUAAAGCGAGCGCAGGCGGUUAGAUAAGUCUGAAGUUAAAGGCAGUGGCUCAACCAUUGUAGGCUUUGGAAACUGUUUAACUUGAGUGCAGAAGGGGAGAGUGGAAUUCCAUGUGUAGCGGUGAAAUGCGUAGAUAUAUGGAGGAACACUGGUGGCGAAAGCGGCUCUCUGGUCUGUAACUGACGCUGAGGCUCGAAAGCGUGGGGAGCGAACAGG